This 1763-nucleotide unclassified non-coding RNA is filed under the name Leishmania donovani. RNAcentral describes it as "gene:unknown". The record is from RNAcentral. Lineage: Eukaryota; Euglenozoa; Kinetoplastea; Trypanosomatida; Trypanosomatidae.
GGGUCUUUUUUCCUGCUCUCUGUGCCUGAGGGGAGCGUGCUUGACUACAUGCGGCGACAACUUCCGCUGCACCCACGCCCCAUCUGGUGCACUCCACACUGACGCACUCGUUUGGCAUGUGCUGUAUUGGACUGUCUGCCGUGGCGGCCCAAGCAGGAUUGCAAACGCGCCAUGGUGCACUAAGUCGCACUAUUGCACGAUGCACGUCCUCGUGUCCCCAUCCAUGACAUUGCCCCUCCGUGCUGGAAUUGAGCACGUCGCGUUGCGGCAGCCAUUCCAGUGGUCAUCAACGACCUCCAGCGCCUGCGUUGCCGGCAUGCAACCGAAAACGUGAUGAGACAUGAUCUCACAGUACCACGCCGUUCGCUGGACGUCAGGGGCUGCGACGCGUCAGCAUUAAUCGUGCAACUGUCAAAAGGGAGUCUCACCAGCGUGAUCGCGGCAGCGGAAUCGACUGCCGCGCGUGCCCACGCUCAGCUACUGGGCUCACAGGAUACGUGUAGGAGCAUAAUCAUCACCUUCGUUGGUGAAAAGAAUGUUCAGCCGUUUGACGACACAACCAACAGCGUCCGAACUGUCCAGCCUCUCGAGUGUGCCAGCCGGUAGCUGCGACUGUGCGCUCUUCUCCUGACGCUCGGUGACACAUCCGCUGUACGGCACGUACCUGCAGCUUCACGGGUGCUCCUUACUACGCCGUAGGAGGUGCAUGUCGAUAACGAUGCUAGCACGGUUAAGUUGUCACAAGCGACAGUACCGCAGAUUCGAGGUGCUUGUUGCUGGAUGCUUCAGCGGCAUAUCUCAGAACGGUGUCGCUCCGCCCAGGGGGGAACUGAGCGUACGGUGCGUUGUGUGCUCCUCCACAUCCUCACGCAAGCUUGUGGACAGGUGGUUCUCGGCUUCCACACGUCACUGUUGAGGAUUGGAGUAGGUGCCGGUGUGAUAUACGCACGCUCACUGCACCCAAGAGCCUCAGCAGCCCCGGCCUAACAGGCGGGGAGUGCACGACCCUACUCGCCGUCGAGGUGUGUCCCCACAUGUGCGUGUGGACCGCUCCUGCUGCGAGGCUCUGCGGAGUCGGCCGCCGCUGUAACGGGCGCCGUGACUUGCGGUCACGAACGCGCCUCAGAGUAGUCGGUGCAGCCACUUGCAACCCCGGCAUGCGCCAGGCGCAUUAGUCCCCAUCAGUAUCCGCAGUUGUCAUCGGGUACGGUGUCUUGCACCACCGUCCGGCAGCUCACUUCUGGAAAGGGCUGUCGCGACGAACGGUCGACUACGAAGAUCUACUGGACUUGAUACAUGCGUGCAACUGCUAACGGCGCAUUCGAGCUGGCGCCGUUCCCUUGAAGGCUUCGUGCAGUGAGCAUGCGCUCUAACUCUCAUGCCGUUUGUUGCUAGCAACAGCGACGCUUGCAGCAUCAACGACCCCGGCGCCUGCGUGAAGCUGGUUCUCGGUCAAUGCUAGCGAGUGCAAAAGGCUGCCUCCUUCGCCACCGCCAGCAGGUACAGCGCAAUUCGCAACUCGAGACGCUCGCUGCAGUAGCGCUUGCUUCGCGGCGUUCCUGUGCGUUGGCGGCUGAAACUGGUCGGCUCUCGCGAGUGUCUCGAACGGAGUACCCCCGCCAAGUGGUCCGACAGCACCAAGACAUGCAAGCACCACAGCCCUCCUGCCACCUUGUCUCUUGAAUGGUUUUGUGUGCGCAGCUUCCCGCUUUGGAUUGAAGGGUGCGAGACACGCGCGUUGUUCUACGACAUUGACCUCCACG